Molecule: long non-coding RNA, 3235 nt
Organism: Catharus ustulatus (Swainson's thrush)
Lineage: Eukaryota; Metazoa; Chordata; Aves; Passeriformes; Turdidae
Exons: 2
Source: RefSeq, a predicted model, not a curated record
GCCCCGCGCCGAGCCCCGCCGUGCUGCGGCCACUCCCGCACCGGAGCCGCUCCAGAACCGUCUGCAGGACACGAGCCCGCGCCCGUGCUUUGGGAUGCCCGGAGCAGACGCCCCAGUGUGGUCCCGUCCCACCCGACCCGUUCAGUGAUGCCGCGGAGAGCCGUCAGCGCUCGGCGUGUUAUCCUCAGCCCGCCUUGAGGACCAAGAGUGUGUCGGGGGCUUUUUUAUUCCGUUUCAGUCUUACCGCUGAGUUCCUCUGUCUCACACAGAGGGUAAGUCUAGAAGUGAAGUGGGUGUUUUAAAUAUGGCUGCUAUUUCAUUAACCAUCAAACUGCUGAGCAAGGAGUUCUCCAAACUUUGCAAAGCUCAUCAGGAGAAGUAUCCUCAAGGAAAGUGUUGUUAAGGAUUGGAACGGGCUGCCCAGAGAGGUGAUGAAGCCAUCGUCCCUGGAAGUGUUCCAGAAACAACUGAGGUGGCAUUUAGUGACAUGCUGUGGUUGACAAGGAGGUGAUCAGUCAAAUGUUGGGCUCGAUGAUCUUGGAGAUCUUUUCCAACCUAAUUAAUUCUGUUAUUCUGUGGUUCAUGACUGAGGAAUUCCCUGCUGCUGCAUGAGAAGUGUCACAGUGGGCUCCUGCCCCAGCAGCUGAACCUCCAGGGACCCCUCAGCUCUUUGGAUGCAGCAAUACCAGCACCACCAGGUCCAAAGCAAAGCAGUACCCGCUGUCCUCUGAGGGCCAGCACCCCUCAGCCAUGGCAUGUGGAGCAGCCAAACCUGCCCAAAUGGGGCUGUCCUCUGUGCUCCAUCCUCAGCACACAACCCAUGCCUCCAUACAGAGGUGAAAAUAGUUUAACUGCUAAGUAUAAUGAUGCAGGUCCCUGCAUAAAUGGUUAAACUGCUAAAUAUAGUGUAACACAUAUGGUUAUAUGGUGCUGGUAUAAGGCAGGACCUUUAUGUUUCUAUCUCUGUCUUCAAGAAGAACCUUGCUGCACAUUCCACCAAUUCCUGCGUUAAACCAGACAUUUAAUGUGCAGAAGAGACUGCCAUGUUUGAUGGGAAGAUAGGAAGGUUAAAAUGAAGCAGGGGAAAAGGUCAGCGAGGCAAAGACAAGCCAGUAGAGAUAUUAAAGAGUAUUACAAACUAGAAGCAAGUAUAUUAGUUUGGUACAGCAGUGCCACUUAAAUAUGGGUAAAUAUCUAAAUUCUGUUAGAUCAGAAGAUCUGAUUUAGUGACCUAAGGCUAAGACAAAACAAAAAGCCAGAAUCUGCAUAUUGGACUCUACAUUUAAAGAAAAUAUAAAGGAAGAAUUCUGAAACUGCACGUGCCAAAAGAAUUUCCUCCCAUCAGCACCAUGGAUCUGCAUCUGUUCAGAAAUCGUGGAUACUGUACAAUGCAGACCAAAAGUUGCAGCUUCAUUAUAUAACUGAGAGAGAACAUAGUUUGCUGUUCCCAGACUCUGUGAAUGUGAAACACUGUGGCAUUGCUCCUUUCUGGGGUAUAUCAGUAGCCUGAAUAGGGACUACUUAGGCUCAAUGCUUUUGUUUAAAAAGCAGGGCUGGGCAUUAGCAACAUGGAGCCCUUCAUACUAUAAGGGUUUCCAUCACAUAUUUUAAGCAAGACCUUUGUUUUCCUCUGCUAUCAGUUUUGCAGUCAUCAGAAUUACAUUUCAAUGUGUUUUACAACAAGAAAAGACUGUGUAUCUCCUGCUAAAGAUAUAUAAUUGAAAGCUGAUCUGAAUCGCUGAAAAGCUGAGACUUUAUACCAAUUUAAUUGUAACAAGUUUAGUUGAACAUAACGACCCAAAUUCUUGCUCUGGAGUUACAUCAAGGAUGAACUGCGUCACAGGCAGCUUGCUUCUUAGAAUCAGAAAGACAGCUGAUGAAAAGAGCAGGACACCAUCUUUGUCAUGUUCUUUCUGGUAGAACACUGAUUUGGAGGACCUAAAAAUCAGAGGAACUCAGGUUGUUCAGAAGAAAUGUACUAGAUUGCUAAGGCAAUCUAAGCCUAUAUACAUGAAGGCAUCCCACUAAACUUAAAUUAUUCCUCUUAUAGUGAGUUACAUGAAGAAAAGAGCUCCUUAUAAACAGCAGAGUAAGAAACACUGAAAAUGCCUGUGAGACCCUAGAUGAUAAUUACGUCAUAGGCAAAUAAAUUCAGCUGAUGUUAUAGUAUGAACCUAAAGAGCAAGAAGUAUCAAUGGCAUUUGGGUGUUUUGGGGUAUUUUUGUAUAACCAGAAGACUGGACCAGAGAAUUGAGAGAAUUUUCUCACACUAAAGGUGGCUUCCAUCCAUAACAAAGAAAAAGGACAGCAGGUGCUGGAUUAUGAUGUAAAAUAAAGAUGUCACUUGCUGAGUUCUGUGAAUGUUCAAAAUGAAAAAGAUAGGAGAAAUCCUGGCUGCAGCCUCUUUAUCCAAUUAUACCAUUGAAGAUUAAUCUAUGGAAAUGGCUGCAGCUGUACAUAAAAUGUGACUGUAGGCACAACUGCAGGCUUAGAUGCUGAGCUCUUACUCAUGCACCACAGAAGGUGAUUCAUAUCCCCAUUACACAAGUGACAUAACAGAUCACAACUCCUCAGUGUGACAGGGACAGAAUGCUACAAGGACUCCAGGCAUGCUGCAGUCACUCUGUGUCCAGAAACCUGUUAGGCACAACAGCACUGAACCACACAACCAAGCUGCUCCAUUGCCCAGUCAAAAAGGUUGCCUACUUCUGAAGUAAUGUUGUAUCAAAACGUCAUCAGUCUCUUGCUUUGUUUUCAUAAAUUUUGCCAUUUUCUUUAUUUUAAUUCACAGAAAUCCGGGACAGGAUAUUUAUGUUUGUAACUCUAAAACGUAUCACAACACACAUUUAUUAUUAUCGGCUUUUAUAACGUGUUAGAAUGCCACUUGUUAAAAAAAAAAAAGGCUAAAGCACUUGACAAUAGCUGAAGACUCAUAAUAAUAAAUAGUCCAGGCAGGUGGAUUGUCAUCCUGAGAGGGUAAGACAGGAAUGGCAACAAAGCAGCAGAAAAUACAGAGGCAACAGCAUUACUUUCUUAUGCAAUGAGCCUGUUUAAUCUUCAUCUAUUGUUGGAACCCUGGAAACUGAGAAAAACGCGAUAAUCUAUGCUUCAUGUUUUUUGAUGCUGCCUGUUCAGAAAUGCUUGUGGCAGGCUGAUGAACUGCAAAAGGCAUCUCACUUCCCUCUGCAAUAAAUGUGCUACAGUAACAAUGUUAUUAAAAUUAUAUUAAACUUUA